UGAGGAAUAUUGGACAAUGGGCGCAAGCCUGAUCCAGCAAUGCCGCGUGCAGGAUGAAGGCCUUCGGGUUGUAAACUGCUCUUGUACGGAGCGAAAAGGUCUGCCCUAAUACGGUGGGCUCAUGACGGUACCGUAAGAAUAAGCACCGGCUAACUACGUGCCAGCAGCCGCGGUAAUACGUAGGGUGCGAGCGUUAAUCGGAAUUACUGGGCGUAAAGCGUGCGCAGGCGGUUAUAUAAGACAGAUGUGAAAUCCCCGGGCUCAACCUGGGACCUGCAUUUGUGACUGUAUAGCUAGAGUACGGUAGAGGGGGAUGGAAUUCCGCGUGUAGCAGUGAAAUGCGUAGAUAUGCGGGGGAACACCGAUGGCGAAGGCAAUCCCCUGGACCUGUACUGACGCUCAUGCACGAAAGCGUGGGGAGCAAACA
Molecule: ribosomal RNA, 427 nt
Filed under: uncultured bacterium
Lineage: Bacteria
Description: bacterial SSU rRNA
Rfam family: Bacterial small subunit ribosomal RNA
Source: RNAcentral